GCGGCGUGCUUAACACAUGCAAGUCGAACGAAGCACUUUAACCUGAUUCUUCGGAUGAAGGUUUUUGUGACUGAGUGGCGGACGGGUGAGUAACGCGUGGGUAACCUGCCUCAUACGGGGGGAUAACAGUUAAAAAUGACUGCUAAUACCGCAUAACACCACGGAGCCGCGUGGCUCAGUGGGAAAAACUCCGGUGGUAUGAGAUGGACCCGCGUCUGAUUAGGUAGUUGGGGGGGUAACGGCCUACCAAGCCAACGAUCAGUAGCCGACCUGAGAGGGUGACCGGCCACAUUGGGACUGAGACACGGCCCAAACUCCUACGGGAGGCAGCAGUGGGGAAUAUUGCACAAUGGGGGAAACCCUGAUGCAGCGACGCCGCGUGAGCGAAGAAGUAUUUCGGUAUGUAAAGCUCUAUCAGCAGGGAAGAAAAUGACGGUACCUGACUAAGAAGCACCGGCUAAAUACGUGCCAGCAGCCGCGGUAAUACGUAUGGUGCAAGCGUUAUCCGGAUUUACUGGGUGUAAAGGGAGCGUAGACGGCUGUGUAAGUCUGAAGUGAAAGCCCGGGGCUCAACCCCGGGACUGCUUUGGAAACUAUGCAGCUAGAGUGUCGGAGAGGUAAGUGGAAUUCCCAGUGUAGCGGUGAAAUGCGUAGAUAUUGGGAGGAACACCAGUGGCGAAGGCGGCUUACUGGACGAUGACUGACGUUGAGGCUCGAAAGCGUGGGGAGCAAACAAGAUUAGAUACCCUGGUAGUCCACGCCGUAAACGACAUCUAAAGGGUGUCGGGGAGCAAAGCUCUUCGGUGCCGCAGCAAACGCAAUAAGUAGUCCCACCUGGGGAGUACGUUCGCAAGAAUGAAACUCAAAGGAAUUGACGGGGACCCGCACAAGCGGUGGAGCAUGUGGUUUAAUUCGAAGCAACGCGAAGAACCUUACUUGCUCUUGACAUCCCGGUGACCGGCAUGUAAUGAUGCCUUUUCUUCGGAACACCGGUGACAGGAGGCGCAUGGUUGUCGUCAGCUCGUGUCGUGAGAUGUUGGGUUAAGUCCCGCAACGAGCGCAACCCUUAUCUUCAGUAGCCAGCAAUUCGGAUGGGCACUCUGGAGAGACUGCCAGGGAUAACCUGGAGGAAGGUGGGGAUGACGUCAAAUCAUCAUGCCCCUUAUGAGCAGGGCUACACACGUGCUACAAUGGCGUAAACAAAGGGAAGCGAGCUUGCGAGGGUAAGCAAAUCUCAAAAAUAACGUCUCAGUUCGGAUUGUAGUCUGCAACUCGACUACAUGAAGCUGGAAUCGCUAGUAAUCGCGAAUCAGCAUGUCGCGGUGAAUACGUUCCCGGGUCUUGUACUCACC
Molecule: ribosomal RNA, 1352 nt
Filed under: uncultured bacterium
Lineage: Bacteria
Description: 16S ribosomal RNA
Rfam family: Bacterial small subunit ribosomal RNA
Source: RNAcentral